Non-coding RNA from Ciona intestinalis (vase tunicate), 1448 nucleotides. The record is from RefSeq and is a predicted model, not a curated record. NCBI's taxonomy places the organism in Eukaryota, Metazoa, Chordata, Ascidiacea, Phlebobranchia, Cionidae.
UACGAUCUUAUCAUAGCGGGAGUUCAUAGAAAAUUCUAGUUCCUUUGCUUCCAAUUUCGACUGAUUUUUAAUGGUAUAUCCAGCAACACUGAGGAAAUUGGGAAGAAGUUAUUACAACGUCCGAACAGUCGAUCAGAUCAGCAGCAUUGUAAAUGAAAUCAAUUGAAAAAUUCGGCAAUCCAAGAAUCUCUUCUCCUUCCGUCGCAUUCGAGCUACAAUUUCCAAUAGCAGCAGCCACGUUCACGUCUCCCCAGUCAAACCACGAAGUAGAAUAGAUAGUUUGUUUUUCAAGUUCUCUUACAAUCUCAUACUCUAAUUCUUCAAGCGCUUCGGUAACAUCGAAUCGGUUCAACGCAAUAUGAUAGUGGUUUGUUUCAACAAGGUUAUGAUGUUUCAUUAUUACCCCGUGAUGACGUGGAGGGCCACCUGUUAAACAACAUCGGAAGUUAAAUGUCUCCAUCUCUCAGAAGAAGAACAGAACACGUGGAGCUGCUGCAAACCGUACGAGAAAACAAACAACAAGCAGAAAAUAUCUGACAGAAGGCAUCUGGCAACAAAAGAAUCUCAUUUCUUCUACACUUUUUUUAUAAAACAUGCAAGUUUAAUCAAAACAAAGCUCUAGCUCCACCAUUGUUAUUUAUAUUUUAUUCUUGUAAACAUUUAGGUAAUCCAUAAUAUUUUAACUGUCACAGAAUUUUUCUUUUUGUUUGCAUUAAUACUAGCUUCACUACUUUAAUGCUGCUACUAAGAAGGAAUUACUAGUUUUAUGAAAAUCGAAUUCUCCAACAUAGUCGGCUUAUAUGUUCAUCAUCAUUCUUGUGUAAAUACACUUAUUUUUUUUGGAAAAUAUUGACUGCAAUAUGUUACCUGAUGAAACGGCGAACCACUCUGAUUAUUUGCUACAAAAACAAUUUGUUUCCGAUCCAAAAGAUGUUCGUAUUUGAACUAAAACCAAAAACAACACAUCACCAUACGGUUACCUCUUCUAAAUCUGUUGCCAAAUAAACCGUAGCAGUAUCUUAAGCCAUCCAGUGCUUGUUUCAUCAAUAUCAUAUACAUUAGACUGUAUAAACCAUUUUAUCUGAUUUAUAAUUGCAUUCAAUUAACUCUUGUUUUGUUUAGUGCAACUUAAUUAGUCAAUGUAAUCAAUUAAUUCCAUUCCCUGCAAAGUGGAUUUAUUUUCUUUUGAUGAUGGUAGUCUAUUUUGACAAUAUGAAAAUGUCAUUGUUCUAAUACAUGUGAUGUGUCCAUUAACAAAUUCUAUUUCUCUUCAAUGUAAAAACAUAGGCACACCUAUGCUGGUUGACAUAUUUACUACAUUGGUUACUAUAUAUUUUUCUUAGUGAGUGAAAAUAGUAGUGGGAGUUUAUAUGCAUUUUUUAUUUGUUGUGUAUUUGAGUUAUGUGGAUUAAUUUAUUCUCGCCUACAAAGCAACUCCGUUUCUGUUA